GGGGGAGUAGCUCAGCGGAAGAGCACAGCGAAUUUGCCUUUAUUUUGGUUUUCAUCCUGUGGCAGUCAGCGAAUCGAACACCUAAAAUAUGGUUGGCACCAUUCCUGAGGUCCUGGGUUCAAACCCCAGUUCUCCCA
Molecule: non-coding RNA, 137 nt
Organism: Podospora conica
Lineage: Eukaryota; Fungi; Ascomycota; Sordariomycetes; Sordariales; Podosporaceae
Source: the annotation of a GenBank genome assembly